UACGUAGGGGCCUAGCGUUGUCCGGAUUUAUUGGGCGUAAAGAGCUCGUAGGCGGUUCGGUAAGUCAGGUGUGAAAUCUCCACGCUCAACGUGGAGGCGCCACCUGAAACUGCCGUGACUAGAGUCCGGUAGGGGAGUGUGGAAUUCCCGGUGUAGCGGUGAAAUGCGCAGAUAUCGGGAAGAACACCCGUGGCUAAGGCGGCUCUCUAGUACGGUACUGACGCUGAGACGCGAAAGCGUGGGGAGCGAACAGG
This 254-nucleotide ribosomal RNA is filed under the name uncultured bacterium. RNAcentral's name for it is "partial 16S ribosomal RNA". It matches the Rfam family "Bacterial small subunit ribosomal RNA", at positions 524 to 776 of the family's 1533-position model. The record is from RNAcentral.